Molecule: ribosomal RNA, 529 nt
Filed under: uncultured bacterium
Lineage: Bacteria
Description: bacterial SSU rRNA
Rfam family: Bacterial small subunit ribosomal RNA
Source: RNAcentral
AGCCAAUAGAUACCCGGGUAGUCCACGCCCUAAACGAUGUCUACUAGUUGUUGGUGGAGUAAAAUCCAUGAGUAAACGCAGCUAAACGCGUGAAGUAGACCGCCUGGGGAGUACGGUCGCAAGAUUAAAACUCAAAGGAAUUGACGGGGGCCCGGCACAAGCGGUGGAUUAUGUGGAUUAAAUUCGAUGCAACGCGAAAACCUUAACCUGGCCUUGACAUGCCACUAACGAAGCAGAGAUGCAUUAGGUGCCCGUAACGGGAAAGUGGACACAGGUGCUGCAUGGCUGUCGUCAGCUCGUGUCGUGAGAUGUUGGGUUAAGUCCCGCAACGAGCGCAACCCUUGCCAUUAAUUGCCAUCAUUUAGUUGGGCACUUUAAUGGGACUGCCGGUGACAAACCGGAGGAAGGUGGGGAUGACGUCAAGUCCUCAUGGCCCUUAUGGCCAGGGCUUCACACGUAAUACAAUGGUCGGUACAGAGAGUUGCCAACCCGCGAGGGGAGGCUAAUCUCAGAAAGCCGAUCGUAGUCC